This 432-nucleotide ribosomal RNA is filed under the name uncultured bacterium. RNAcentral's name for it is "partial 16S ribosomal RNA". It matches the Rfam family "Bacterial small subunit ribosomal RNA", at positions 29 to 507 of the family's 1533-position model. The record is from RNAcentral.
GCGCACGCUGGCGGCAGGCCUAACACCUGCCAGUCGAACGGAUCCUUCGGGAUUAGUGGCGGACGGGUGAGUCACACGUGGGAACGUGCCCUUUGGUUCGGAACAACUCAGGGAAACUUGAGCUAAUACCGGAUGUGCCCUUCGGGGGAAAGAUUUAUCGCCAUUGGAGCGGCCCGCGUCUGAUUAGCUAGUUGGUGAGGUAACGGCCCACCAAGGCGACGAUCAGUAGCUGGUCUGAGAGGAUGAUCAGCCACACUGGGACUGAGACACGGCCCAGACUCCUACGGGAGGCAGCAGUGGGGAAUCUUGCGCAAUGGGCGAAAGCCUGACGCAGCCAUGCCGCGUGAAUGAUGAAGGUCUUAGGAUUGUAAAAUUCUUUCAGCGGGGACGAUAAUGACGGUACCCGCAGAAGAAGCUCCGGCUAACUUCGUG